UGAUUUGAAGAGCUUGCUCAGAUAUGACGAUGGACAUUGCAAAGAGUGGCGAACGGGUGAGUAACACGUGGGAAACCUACCUCUUAGCAGGGGAUAACAUUUGGAAACAGAUGCUAAUACCGUAUAACAAUGACAACCGCAUGGUUGUUAUUUAAAAGAUGGUUCUGCUAUCACUAAGAGAUGGUCCCGCGGUGCAUUAGCUAGUUGGUAAGGUAAUGGCUUACCAAGGCGAUGAUGCAUAGCCGAGUUGAGAGACUGAUCGGCCACAAUGGGACUGAGACACGGCCCAUACUCCUACGGGAGGCAGCAGUAGGGAAUCUUCCACAAUGGGCGAAAGCCUGAUGGAGCAACGCCGCGUGUGUGAUGAAGGGUUUCGGCUCGUAAAACACUGUUGUAAGAGAAGAAUGACAUUGAGAGUAACUGUUCAAUGUGUGACGGUAUCUUACCAGAAAGGAACGGCUAAAUACGUGCCAGCAGCCGCGGUAAUACGUAUGUUCCAAGCGUUAUCCGGAUUUAUUGGGCGUAAAGCGAGCGCAGACGGUUAUUUAAGUCUGAAGUGAAAGCCCUCAGCUCAACUGAGGAAUUGCUUUGGAAACUGGAUGACUUGAGUGCAGUAGAGGAAAGUGGAACUCCAUGUGUAGCGGUGAAAUGCGUAGAUAUAUGGAAGAACACCAGUGGCGAAGGCGGCUUUCUGGACUGUAACUGACGUUGAGGCUCGAAAGUGUGGGUAGCAAACAGGAUUAGAUACCCUGGUAGUCCACACCGUAAACGAUGAGUGCUAGGUGUUUGAGGGUUUCCGCCCUUAAGUGCCGCAGCUAACGCAUUAAGCACUCCGCCUGGGGAGUACGACCGCAAGGUUGAAACUCAAAGGAAUUGACGGGGGACCCGCACAAGCGGUGGAGCAUGUGGUUUAAUUCGAAGCAACGCGAAGAACCUUACCAGGUCUUGACAUCCCUUGACAACUCCAGAGAUGGAGCGUUCCCUUCGGGGACAAGGUGACAGGUGGUGCAUGGUUGUCGUCAGCUCGUGUCGUGAGAUGUUGGGUUAAGUCCCGCAACGAGCGCAACCCUUAUUACUAGUUGCCAGCAUUCAGUUGGGCACUCUAGUGAGACUGCCGGUGACAAACCGGAGGAAGGUGGGGAUGACGUCAAAUCAUCAUGCCCCUUAUGACCUGGGCUACACACGUGCUACAAUGGCGUAUACAACGAGUUGCCAACCCGCGAGGGUGAGCUAAUCUCUUAAAGUACGUCUCAGUUCGGAUUGUAGGCUGCAACUCGCCUACAUGAAGUCGGAAUCGCUAGUAAUCGCGGAUCAGCACGCCGCGGUGAAUACGUUCCCGGGUCUUGUACACACCGCCCGUCACACCAUGAGAGUU
Molecule: ribosomal RNA, 1375 nt
Filed under: Weissella confusa
Lineage: Bacteria; Bacillati; Bacillota; Bacilli; Lactobacillales; Lactobacillaceae
Description: bacterial SSU rRNA
Rfam family: Bacterial small subunit ribosomal RNA
Source: RNAcentral